RNAcentral lists this ribosomal RNA (460 nucleotides) under uncultured bacterium. Its description in RNAcentral is "partial 16S ribosomal RNA". It matches the Rfam family "Bacterial small subunit ribosomal RNA", at positions 338 to 795 of the family's 1533-position model. The record is from RNAcentral.
CCUACGGGACGCAGCAGUGAGGAAUAUUGGUCAAUGGACGCAAGUCUGAACCAGCCAUGCCGCGUGCAGGAAGACGGCUCUAUGAGUUGUAAACUGCUUUUGUACGAGGGUAAACGCAGAUACGCGUAUCUGUCUGAAAGUAUCGUACGAAUAAGGAUCGGCUAACUCCGUGCCAGCAGCCGCGGUAAUACGGAGGAUUCAAGCGUUAUCCGGAUUUAUUGGGUUUAAAGGGUGCGUAGGCGGUCGGAUAAGUUAGAGGUGAAAUCCCGAGGCUCAACUUCGGAAUUGCCUCUGAUACUGUUCGGCUUGAGAGUAGUUGCGGUAGGCGGAAUGUAUGGUGUAGCGGUGAAAUGCUUAGAGAUCAUACAGAACACCGAUUGCGAAGGCAGCUUACCAAGCUACUUCUGACGUUGAGGCACGAAAGCGUGGGGAGCAAACAGGAUUAGAUACCCCGGUAGUC